Molecule: ribosomal RNA, 776 nt
Filed under: uncultured archaeon
Lineage: Archaea
Description: bacterial SSU rRNA
Rfam family: Archaeal small subunit ribosomal RNA
Source: RNAcentral
AUACGUGGCACACGGCUCAGUAACACGUAGUCAACAUAACCAAAGGACGUGGAUAAACUCGGGAAACUGAGGCUAAACCGCGAUAGAUCAAGAUACCUGGAAUGGUUUUUGAUUAAAAUCUAUAUGGCCUUUGGAUUGGACUGCGUCCGAUCAGGCUGUUGGUGAGGUAAUGGCCCACCAAACCUGUAACCGGUACGGGCUCUGAGAGGAGGAGCCCGGAGAUGGGUACUGAGAAAAGGACCCAGGCCCUAUGGGGCGCAGCAGGCGCGAAACCUCUGCAAUAGGCGAAAGCCUGACAGGGUUAUUCUGAGUGACUUUCGCUAAGAAAGUCUUUUGACACCUCUAAAAAUGGUGUAGAAUAAGGGGUGGGCAAGUCUGGUGUCAGCCGCCGCGGUAAUACCAGCACCCCGAGUGGUCGGGACGAUUAUUGGGCCUAAGGCAUCCGUAGCCGGUUUUACAAGUCCCCCGUUAAAUCCAGCUGCUUAACAGAUGGGCUGCGGAGGAUACUAUAAGACUAGGAGGCAGGAGAGGCAAGCGGUACUCAGUGGGUAGGGGUAAAAUCCGUUGAUCCAUUGAAGACCACCAGUGGCGAAGGCGGCUUGCCAGAAUGCGCUCGACGGUGAGGGAUGAAAGCUGGGGGAGCAAACCGGAUUAGAUACCCGGGUAGUCCCAGCUGUAAACGAUGCAGACUCGGUGAUGGACUAGCUUUAUGCUAGUCCAGUGCCGCAGGGAAGCCGUUAAGUCUGCCGCCUGGGUAGUACGGUCGCAAGACUGAA